AGAGUUUGAUUAUGGCUCAGGAUGAACGCUAGCUACAGGCUUAACACAUGCAAGUCGAGGGGCAGCAUUGGAGUAGCAAUACUCAGAUGGCGACCGGCGCACGGGUGAGUAACACGUAUCCAACCUGCCGCUUACUCGGGGAUAGCCUCUCGAAAGAAAGAUUAAUACCCGAUGGUAUAAAGAGUUCGCAUGUUCUCUUUAUUAAAGAAUUUCGGUAAGCGAUGGGGAUGCGUUCCAUUAGAUAGUUGGCGGGGUAACGGCCCACCAAGUCUACGAUGGAUAGGGGUUCUGAGAGGAAGGUCCCCCACAUUGGAACUGAGACACGGUCCAAACUCCUACGGGAGGCAGCAGUGAGGAAUAUUGGUCAAUGGACGAGAGUCUGAACCAGCCAAAAGUAGCGUGAAGGAUGACUGCCCUAUGGGUUGUAAACUUCUUUUAUAAGGGAAUAAAGUGAGGGACGUGUCCCUUUUUGUAUGUACCUUAUGAAUAAGGAUCGGCUAACUCCGUGCCAGCCGCCGC
This 519-nucleotide ribosomal RNA is filed under the name uncultured bacterium. RNAcentral's name for it is "bacterial SSU rRNA". It matches the Rfam family "Bacterial small subunit ribosomal RNA", at positions 8 to 518 of the family's 1533-position model. The record is from RNAcentral.